UGGCUCAGUUGGUAGAGCAUGGUGUUUGCAACGCCAGGGUUGUGGGUUCGAGUCCCAU
Molecule: transfer RNA, 58 nt
Filed under: Salmo salar (Atlantic salmon)
Lineage: Eukaryota; Metazoa; Chordata; Actinopteri; Salmoniformes; Salmonidae
Rfam family: tRNA
About the family: Transfer RNA (tRNA) molecules are approximately 80 nucleotides in length. Their secondary structure includes four short double-helical elements and three loops (D, anti-codon, and T loops).
Source: Rfam by way of RNAcentral